GUGAGGAAUAUUGGUCAAUGGGCGCAAGCCUGAACCAGCCAUCCCGCGUGCAGGAAGACGGCCCUAUGGGUUGUAAACUGCUUUUCCAGGGGGAGAAAUUCCCGUACGUGUACGGGAUUGACGGUACCCUGGGAAUAAGCAUCGGCUAACUCCGUGCCAGCAGCCGCGGUAAUACGGAGGAUGCGAGCGUUAUCCGGAUUCAUUGGGUUUAAAGGGUGCGUAGGCGGACUAUUAAGUCAGUGGUGAAAUCCUGCAGCUUAACUGCAGAACUGCCAUUGAUACUGAUAGCCUUGAGUUUGGUUAAGGUAGGCGGAAUGUGUAAUGUAGCGGUGAAAUGCUUAGAUAUUACACAGAACACCAAUUGCGUAGGCAGCUUACUGAGCCGACACUGACGCUGAGGCACGAAAGCGUGGGGAUCGAACAGGAUUAGAAACCCGAGUAGUCC
RNAcentral lists this ribosomal RNA (445 nucleotides) under uncultured bacterium. RNAcentral describes it as "bacterial SSU rRNA". It matches the Rfam family "Bacterial small subunit ribosomal RNA", at positions 354 to 796 of the family's 1533-position model. The record is from RNAcentral.